Molecule: non-coding RNA, 94 nt
Organism: Termitomyces sp. 'cryptogamus'
Lineage: Eukaryota; Fungi; Basidiomycota; Agaricomycetes; Agaricales; Lyophyllaceae
Source: the annotation of a GenBank genome assembly
GGUCCAAUGGUCUAGUGGUUAUGAUUUCUGUCUUACAAAGGUUUCUAGCCUUUCGGGACACAGAAGGUCUCCAGUUCGAUCCUGGAUUGGACCA